GACGAACGCUGGCGGCGUGCCUAAUACAUGCAAGUCGAACGCUGAAGGAGGAGCUUGCUUCCCUGGAUGAGUUGCGAACGGGUGAGUAACGCGUAGGUAACCUGCCUGGUAGCGGGGGAUAACUAUUGGAAACGAUAGCUAAUACCGCAUAAGAGUAGAUGUUGCAUGACAUUUACUUAAAAGGUGCAAUUGCAUCACUACCAGAUGGACCUGCGUUGUAUUAGCUAGUUGGUGAGGUAACGGCUCACCAAGGCAACGAUACAUAGCCGACCUGAGAGGGUGAUCGGCCACACUGGGACUGAGACACGGCCCAGACUCCUACGGGAGGCAGCAGUAGGGAAUCUUCGGCAAUGGACGGAAGUCUGACCCAGCAAAGCCGCGUGAGUGAAGAAGGUUUUCGGAUCGUAAAGCUCUGUUGUAAGAGAAGAACGAGUGUGAGAGUGGAAAGUUCACACUGUGACGGUAUCUUACCAGAAAGGGACGGCUAACUACGUG
Molecule: ribosomal RNA, 495 nt
Filed under: uncultured bacterium
Lineage: Bacteria
Description: partial 16S ribosomal RNA
Rfam family: Bacterial small subunit ribosomal RNA
Source: RNAcentral